This is a long non-coding RNA of Zea mays, 155 nucleotides long. RefSeq lists it as uncharacterized. NCBI's taxonomy places the organism in Eukaryota, Viridiplantae, Streptophyta, Magnoliopsida, Poales, Poaceae. The transcript is spliced from 2 exons. The record is from RefSeq and is a predicted model, not a curated record.
CUGCAGCACGCGCACCAUGGCGGAGCCGAGUUCGCCGGUUGCGCGUCGCCCACUGGAUUGCUGGAUUCCAGGGACCCCUACGCCCUCCUGCUUCUUUCAGGUGCCCAGGUUUUCUCCUGGGCAUGAAGCCAUUGGGCUAUGAUGUGUGAGGUGCA